Molecule: long non-coding RNA, 1136 nt
Filed under: Meleagris gallopavo (turkey)
Lineage: Eukaryota; Metazoa; Chordata; Aves; Galliformes; Phasianidae
Description: lncRNA (ENSMGAG00000018741.1)
Source: RNAcentral
AAAGCACUUAAUGUAGUGGUAUUAUACCCUGUGUUGCUCAGAAGGCAAAACUCACAAUGUGCUAUUUUUUGCCAGGAUCACUUUAUCAAGGCCGUUAGAAUGCAGCAAAUGUAGGGACACCUUAAAUUAGGUGAGAUCCUAUUGUCCAAAUUGCCUUGUUAAAGCUAGUCCAUGCCAUGGACAAUGACAUCACACAAGUGAAAAAAAAAACAUCCUCUUAUGUGUUAGCAUUCACAGGAACUGAAUUAAAUCAUUAAAAGAUUGAAUCAUCUUGCUCAAGGUCAAGCAUUGACCUGGAGUGCAGCCUUUCCAAUACAGUCCUCUCUCUGACCACCACAGCAAUCUGCCUUACACCAGGUCAAUAAACACACGCAUUGAACAUGAUAUUGAUUUCUAAAGCUCACAGAAAAAACCUGCAUGUUAGACUUCAGCUUCAAGACCCAACAAGCUGUUCCUAUCCCACAGUGGCCAUCUAAAUUUCAUAAUGGCACACACUAGGCAUUAUGUAACGAUAAUACCUACACUGUACAGCCUUCUUCCAAUAAUAAAAAGGACAUAAUGAUCAAAUCAAUCGGCACAAGCCUUAUUGUUCUCUCAGAUAUUUAGGAUUUUCAGUUUGUGAAACAACAGAGUUAUGUGUAAUCCCCCUCUACUGUUCUCUCAGCAUGCAGGGUUUAUUGCUCUGCCUCAUGCUUCUAAUUCAUGCAAUGGUUGGAGGAAGCAUUCGCUGCUCUAAGAGACUCUGCCUUGUCUACCUCAGACCUGAGAAGGAACAGACUACUAGAAAUGAGAGAGAGAAGAGACAAAGCAUUUGCCAUCGGUGACUGUAACACGAUGGAAAGCGCAGCAGUGACGGCAGGGUAGCAAAGUUCAAAGCAAGUGAGGAGGUGCUCAAAUGCAGCAGCUGUGAACACAGAAACAAAGGAAAGAAUCUGCUUACCCUUGGAAGGCCUCAGAUAGGCUGGCGUCUCCUGCAAGAAUCUAGUUUUUGACCUCUUGCCUUCAUUCAAAUUGAAAGAGCAAUAAUUUAACCAUUUAAACCAGGAGUCCUUGAUAUACUUAUUGACCUACUUACAGGUAAGAAAACUUAGAUGUUCAAAACUGAGUCCAAGUCUUUUCAAAACAUUAAGUGUAAG